GUCUAUGGCCAUGCCACCCUGAAAAAGCCUGAUCCCAUCUGAUCUCGGAAGCUAUGCAGGUUCAGGCCUGGUUAGUACUUGGAUGGGAGACCACCUAGGAAGACCAGGUGCUAUAGGCA
Molecule: ribosomal RNA, 119 nt
Filed under: Pteropus alecto (black flying fox)
Lineage: Eukaryota; Metazoa; Chordata; Mammalia; Chiroptera; Pteropodidae
Source: RNAcentral